RNAcentral lists this ribosomal RNA (468 nucleotides) under uncultured bacterium. RNAcentral's name for it is "partial 16S ribosomal RNA". It matches the Rfam family "Bacterial small subunit ribosomal RNA", at positions 28 to 507 of the family's 1533-position model. The record is from RNAcentral.
GACGAACGCUGGCGGUGUGCUUAACACAUGCAAGUCGAACGGUAAGGCCCUUUCGGGGGUACACGAGUGGCGAACGGGUGAGUAACAAGUGAGUAACCUGCCUUCAUCUCUGGGAUAACAGUCGGAAACGGUUGCUAAUACUGGAUAUAUGCUUGCACGGCAUCUUGUGUGUUGGAAAGAUUUUUUUUGGUUGGGGGUGGACUCGCGGCCUAUCAGCUUGUUUGUGAGGUAGAGGCGCACAAAGGCUUCGACGCGUAUCCGGCCUGAGAGGGCGACAGGCCACAUUGGGACUGAGAGACGGCGCAAACACCUACGGGAGGCAGCAGUGGGGAAUAUUGCACAAUGGACGGAAGUCUGAUGCAGCAACGCCGCGUGCGGGAUGACGGCCUUCGGGGUGUAAACCGCUCUCAAGUGUGACGAAGCGUUUGUGUGACGGUAGCAGUAGAAGAAGCACCGGCUAACUACGUG